CUGGUUUAGAAGGUGUUUCAACCUGGGCGAGGCUGCGAUUGACUUUCAGAUUAUCUUUGGCUGAUAUGUGAGGGCAAUUAGAGGCUUAACUUGAGCAGAGUGGGGCACCGUUGAGUUGAGUUUCGGGACUUCUUGUGGCUGGAUUGAGCUUAG
Molecule: long non-coding RNA, 153 nt
Organism: Ananas comosus (pineapple)
Lineage: Eukaryota; Viridiplantae; Streptophyta; Magnoliopsida; Poales; Bromeliaceae
Exons: 3
Source: RefSeq, a predicted model, not a curated record